CGCAAUUCUAAUUGGCAGAUGCACUUCCACUUUUGUACCGCGCCUAAAUGUAUUCUAUUAUUCUACUAUAUCGAACUGGUUGCUUUUUGCGCCGCUUUCACUUUCUACCCUAUCAUGGGUAGAAUGAUGAGCACGAGGAUGUUGAUGUGUGGCUGUUGGUUGACCCUUUUCCAGUCCGAUUGGGGGUCCAUUAUAAAUUGCCGUUUGCCGAUGUCCAAAUAUCCGUGUCCGCGUUUGAGCCCUGGGCUCAGAAGAGGGUCAGUGUAAACUGCUCUCAGGGGGAAAGAGCAACUGACGAAAGUGCCGGAGCUGGGAUCGAACCCAUGGCCAUCUGCUUAUGAAGCAAACGUGUGACUACUUAUGCCAUGGGCCCCGGCUUCCCAAAGAAAUUAGUAAGAUGAACUUUAUUUGCAGGUUUUAAUAAAGCAGCUCGAUUAGCUGAUGGUACAAUCUAUUCACAUACAUUUCCAUUUGGAAAAUUUCUCUAAAAAUGGCGCACUGAAACUACCUGAAUAUCUGGAUGUUAUCGUCAAAAGUGGUCUCGCUUCGAUACUAUCAAACUCAUUUGUCUAAUGAUUUCCGAUGGUGUGCUUCGGUCUGUUCAAGUACAUGGAAAAACACCGGACCCUCUAAACCGUCGAUAAUAAACUAGCUCGUGCUGUCAAUUAUAUUUUUUGCCAUACUAUUUUUAACGUCCAUGCAGAAUCGUUCGAGCCCCAGGCCACGCGUGUGUGUUCCGGGCUGGACAGACCCGAGUAGGCACUAGAAAUAAGCUUCCCGAUCGAAACUGAUAUAGACAGUUCUGCGUUCUGUCCUCCUUAUUCAUCUGUUCAAUGCGAAAAAAAAAACAGGCGAGGAGGGUCGAUGGGCUGGGCAGGGCACCCGCACUUCACUGCACUUCGCUUAGCUUCGCGAGUAGAUGAUGGCACGUUGGAAGGGAGCCGGGCCGGCGUCAUGUGUGCGCACAUUUGUGACAAGCAAGAAUUGCAGAAAUUGUUUGCCUUAAUCAAACAUUUGCAUUUAGUGUAAACCAGAUUUGCGCCGCUCGCGAUGAUAGGGACGACGACGUGCUCGGCAUGUGGAAUAGUAAGUUCAUUGUUUCACUGGGCUAGUAGUGUGUGCUGUACCUACUGACUACUGGAGCGAAGGAAUGUGCAAUGCAAUCUGGAGUAUAAAACCGCUGUUGAUCAGAGGCCGCGUGAUAGCAAGAAUAUGGGUAUUUGAUUUGACUGAUUUAAAUAUGGUCUUGGUUUUCUGCCUGGGUGAUUGGCUUUGAGAAGAGUGACAGUUCAAACAUAAGGAUACUUUACAACCGGAUUCGUGGAAUGGUUGUUGAGUUAGUAACGUUGUGUAACAGGCAAAGAGGAAAUCUUGGCGUUGUUGUUACAACAAUUUAAAUAACCUGCUCCUCAUUCCGGUUAGAUUGAUCUACAUUGCAUUGUGGCUUAAAAGACUUUUUCCAAACCAACCCUUUGAUUUUUUGAAGAGAAAGACAGCGAAAAUGUGAUGAACCAUAGUUCUAUCAAAACGAAAUACAUGGUUGCGUGUGGAGACAGAAGCAGUCAUAGGAAAUUUCUAUUACGAGAAGAUUCUAGAUCCAAAGGAUUGCUGAUUACCUGGAAGAACAGAUUGGUAUUAAAAAAUAACGGUUUAACGGUUCCAAUGCACAUGGAUUCAUGGCUUCCAUUCUGAAAAGAGUUACCCAUCCCGAAGCCUGAGCUGACUCAUUUUAUUCAAUCUCUGAUAAAAAAGUAACUUCUCUUCGCGCGAAAAUCAAGGCUACCGCUAUCACGUAACACAAUCAUGAUUUGAUUAAGUUGCUCAUCCGAACAAACAACGCACGUCAUUAGUUCACACCUUCGGAACAGGUGCGAAAUCGGAUGU
Molecule: long non-coding RNA, 1884 nt
Organism: Aedes albopictus (Asian tiger mosquito)
Lineage: Eukaryota; Metazoa; Arthropoda; Insecta; Diptera; Culicidae
Exons: 2
Source: RefSeq, a predicted model, not a curated record